GACCAGCAAAGAGCCAAACAUUCAGUUUUUAUAGAGGUGCUCACAUGUGCCCAUCAUCAGUUAAUUAAGUCCAGCUGAUUAGCAGCACCAUACUUACCCUCUUAAAUCCAACGGAAGCAGUGAAGGUGUAACUAGAUUUUCUACACACUGUUUCUGUGAUUAGCUUAAUAAAUAUUGGCACAGUGUAACAUGUUAUGUUUUGUAGUUGAUCUGAGAUUGUAUUUACCUAAUUUUAAGACCUGCAAAGGACGAGAUUAUUUUUAUUAUGUCAUCGUAAAACAAACAGAUUGAAUCAGUGCUGCAUCAGAUUCAAAAGUCACAAAGAGCAAACAGAGGGAUGACAGCAAGCCUGCCGAGGAAAGGACAAAACUGUAAAGGCUGGGCAUGAAAACUGCUGAGGAGAAGAAAGGAGUGGAACCACUGUACAAAUUUACAUAUUUACAGCCCCCACACCACUACACAGUGUGUAUGCAAGUAGGCAUUUUCAGAAACUAAGAACUAGUGACUCAUGAGUUACUGACAUUUCCAUCUCCCCAAACAGAGACAAAUUGACCCAAGUCUGCCACUAUUUUAUUAUAAGGAAAUUCAGUUGUGAGCUGAGGGACAACCAGUUCAAGUUCAAACCCUGCAAACUCUGCUCCUUUAAUUUUAUUCACUCUUGUUAACCAAAUAUUCAUUUUUGCCUGACCUAUGAAAAGCUUAAUGAGACAGACAUCUCUCCACUGUGCUGCACUGACCCAAAAGUGAAAACCCUGUCAUCCAGCAGCAGUCCUAGCUAACCACCGUCACAGUAAUGCAUAUAGAGGAGCCAGUGUGGGACAGCUGGCGCACAGAUGCACUAAGGCCAUUUGGCAAAACCCACAGUGACUGCUGCUCUGUUAUCUGCAAGUGUGACGUGUCUGUUUGUAUGUACUGCCACCACUUGACAUCUGCACUUUUUCAAUUGGAGUAAUGUACAAACACCAUGAUGCUCAGCUGAUCGCAGGGCUCUCCUCUUCUUUAGGAAAUUCUUACAUUAAAGUGUAGAUCAUGGUAGAUGCUCCCUAAUAUGUCCAGUCCAGUCACCUCAUGUUUGUUCACACAAUGCAACAACAUCUGGAGGACCAACAGCUGCAAGGUGCUACGAGAGCAUAAAGGCACCCGACAUAGCGCACAAUUCCCAGUAGAGGACAAAUGUUGCUGGACUCAAAUCCAUCUAUGCAACCAGACACAGAUUUUCCUCACGGUUUUUCUUCUGAAACUCAUCUUUCCCUACGAAUACACCAAGGCAUGUGAUGCCCUCUCUCUUACAGCCCAGCUGGAAGCGUUGGCUGCUCUGUAUUUUUCUAGUCAGCUGAAAGAAUAAGGCUAAAAGUGUCUAGCAAAAAAAGAAUAGUCUACUCACUUUUAAGCAACAUGUUAAUUUAAACUUAACCUAAUUAUAGUAAGCUCUCGCUGUGCCUUAACGAUGUGGCCCUGAUAAAGA
This is a long non-coding RNA of Oreochromis niloticus (Nile tilapia), 1465 nucleotides long. RefSeq lists it as uncharacterized. The record is from RefSeq and is a predicted model, not a curated record. Lineage: Eukaryota; Metazoa; Chordata; Actinopteri; Cichliformes; Cichlidae. The transcript has 2 exons.